Molecule: non-coding RNA, 93 nt
Organism: Pelobates cultripes (western spadefoot toad)
Lineage: Eukaryota; Metazoa; Chordata; Amphibia; Anura; Pelobatidae
Source: the annotation of a GenBank genome assembly
CCCCAGAUGUUGCUGAACUACAACUCCCAUGAAUCCCUGGCUACCUUUUUAAUUGAAAGAAUCAUGGGAGUUGUAGUUCAGCAACAUCUGGGG